Molecule: long non-coding RNA, 4445 nt
Filed under: Octopus vulgaris (common octopus)
Lineage: Eukaryota; Metazoa; Mollusca; Cephalopoda; Octopoda; Octopodidae
Source: RNAcentral
CCUUACUUCCAUCCACAAGGCCUUAGAGUUAACUCUGCCACCUACAUUGAGUCCUGGAAAUGAUUGUUAAGCCCUAGAUAGACAGUGCAUGCAAUAGAAGGCCAUAUGUGUUUCAGUAAGACUCUGCACUAUUACACAGGAAUGGAUGGCUGAAAAUUUUAACGAUCACAUAACCCCUAACAUUUGGCCUCCUAAUUUGCCAGAUCUCAAUCCACUGGACUAUUAAACGUGGAGUGUCAUUGAAAGACACAUGUCCAUAGCACCAAAGAUUCUUUGAAAGCUGCCAUAGUCAGAGUAAUGUCCAAAAUGAACCAGGACCACUUGAUUCGAGCAUGUAGAUGAUUUAGAUCUCAAAUAGAAGCAAUUGUUGAAGCUGAAGGUAACUUUAUUGAAUAACAUUAUAGAAAAGGUUUAUUUUUAUCUUCAUAGUGGUUUUUGAUAAAUAAAGUUAUUAUCUGAUUUUUUAUAAACAUAAAUCUGUCCUCAAAUAUCUUAUGCACCCUGUAUAUAUUAAUCUGUUUGUCUAUCUGCUUGUCUGUUUGUAUGUCUGUCUGUCUGUAGAUACACACACAGACAAACACACACACACACACAUGCAUGUGUUUGUGUGUGUGAAUGUGUGCAUGUGCAUAUGCAUGCAUAUGUGUGUGUGCAUGUGUAUAUGUGAGUUUGCACGAGUAUGUGUGUGGGUAUGUGUGCAUAUGUGUGUACAUGUGUGUGUGUGUAAGUGUAAGUGUGCACGAGUGCGUGUGCGUGUGUGUGUGCAUGUGUGUGUGUGUGUGUGUGUGUGUGUGUGUGUGUGCAUAGCCGUAGUUAAGAGCAUGCUGCUGGCAUACAACCAGAGAUAAAGCAUUUAAUUUGCUGUAAUCAAGUCUGAGUCUAUUGGACUUUGUUCACAAAUCACAGGCAAACCUAGGUGCAACAUCCAGACUUCUCACGACCAACUAACCGACAAACUCACUGAUAAAUCUAGAUUGCAGGUCACACAUAGAUCUCUUACAUUAUAUUAUGGUUCCUCUCUCUUCUGCCAAAAUGCCUCUGCUUUGAAAUAAAAUCAAAAAUUAAGUUACAAAAGUGACGAGAAAUAUGGUAAAAAUAAAAGCAUGGCUUUCACCAGUAAAUUUCAGUCUUUAGAUUCUGUUUCUUUUUUCUAUUUAUUUAUUUAUUUAUUUAUUUAUUCAUUUAUUUAUUUACUUAUUUUUUACUCAUUUAUGUACAUAUUUAUGUAUAUGUAUGUGUAUGUCUGUGAGUAUAUAUAUGUUUGUUUAUUCAUAUAUCCACACAUAUAUAUAUAUAUACACACACACACACACACACACACACAUAUAUAUAUAUAUGCACACACAUAAGAAUGCUCCAUAUAGCAUCAUCAUCAUCAUCAUUUAACGUCUGUUGUCUAUACUGGCACAGGUUGGAUGGUUUGACUAGGGCUGGAGAGCUGGAAGGCUACACUAGACACCAGUCUGAUUUGGCAUGGCUGCUACAGCUGGAUGCCAUUCCUAGCACCAACCACUCUCAGAGUGGCAAUAUAUAUAUAUAUAUAUAUAUAUAUGUAUGUAUGUAUGUAUGUAUAUAUAUAUAUAUGUAUGUAUGUAUGUAUGUAUGUAUGUAUGUAUGUAUGUAUGUAUGUAUGUAUGUAUGUAUGUAUGUAUGUAUGUAUGUAUGUAUGCGUGUAUGUAUAUAUAUAUAUGUAUAUGUAUUAUAUGUAUAUGUGUAUGUACAUAUUUAUACGUAUAUAUGUAUAUAUAUAUGUGUGUAUGUCAUCAUCAUCAUCAUCAUCAUCAUUUAAUGUCCGUUUUCCAUGCUAGCAUGGGUUGGAUGGUUCGAUUGGUGUUUUGGAAGCCAGGAGGCUGCACCAGGCUCGAGUCUGAUCUGGCAGUGUUUCUACAGCUGGAUGCCCUUCCUAAUGCCAACCACUCCGUGAGUUUAGUGGGUGCUUUUUACGUGCCACUGGUACAAGUAUCACAACUACAAUUUCCAUUUGAUAUUUAUUUUAAUGUUGAUGUACUUGACUCAAUAGGUCUCCUCAAGCACAGCAGGUCACCCUACGAUCCAAGGUAAGCACAGUAGGACAUUCUGCUGCAAUCCAAGGUACUUUGGAUGGGCUGGGGCUAUGCAAAACUGGUGCAGGAAAUAGCCAUGAACUCACAUUAUUUGUCGGGUCUUUGCAGUCACAGCAUAUCUCCAGAGAUCUUGGUCUUUUGUCAUUACCUCUGUGAGGCCCAACGUUUGAAGGUCAUGCUUGACCACCUCAUCCCAUGUCUUCCUGGGUCUACCUCUCCCCCGAAUACCUUCAACUGUUUGGGAGUGGAACUUUUUCACACAUCUCUCCUCAUCCAUCCACAGUUCAUGACCGUACUAGUGCAAACGUCUCUCUUGCACACCACAUCUGAGGCUUCUUAUGUCCAGCAUUUCUCUCAGGGCACUUACACUCUGUCAUGUGUGCACACUGACAUUACACAUCCAGCGGAUCAUACUAGCUUCAUUUCUUUCAAGCCUAUGCAUGUCCUCUGCAGUCACAGCCCAUGUUUCACUGCCUUGAAGCAGGUACUGAGGUACUUUCAGUCCUGUGGGGUGCUUCCUGCCUGUGUCUCACCAGGUGUUAUCACUGUGCACUGCAGCUGUGCUUCCUCUUUUCCACAAAUGGACCUAUCUCAGUGCAUCUUGAUCCCUUUCUCAUUCUUACAGAUCUUUCUGCAGUGACACUCUACUUCCAAUACUUCCCCAACAACUGAUAUUUCAACAGGUGUUGCCACUGAAAACGGCAAUGGAUAAGUGACAAAGGACCGGAAGUGAUAAUUUACUGUACUUAAUAAGCCAUGUCAAACUAAAUAAAAUUGCUGUCAUCGAUACAUACAGGCUUGUCCUUUAAAGGUGCUGAUAAAAUGCACUUGUGUCAGUGACACGUAAAAAGCACCCAACAAACUCUGUAAAGUGGUUGGCAUUAGGAAGGGCAUCCAGCUGUAGAAACUAUGUACAACAGACAACUGGAGUCUGGAAAGCUCCUGGGCUGGUCAGCCCUUGUCAAACCAUCCAACCCAUCCCGGCAUGGAAAACAAACAUUAAACAAUAACAACGAUGACGAUAAUAAUGAUGAUGAUGAUGAUAAUGAUGAUGAUGAUAAAUUUAUGUAUUUUGACCUGAUAGUGUAGACAAUGUGCCUCUCUUGAAUGACCUUCUCAACAGUCUGGUUAUAAUUCAGAAAAAAAUGUAUAUUCAAAUAUAUUAUUAGGUCAUCAAGUAUGAAAUUUGUAGUAAGGUAUAUGGUAAACUUUGACAACUGCUCAUUUUGCACCAUUAUUAUAUUUUGACAAUUUUUACCUUUUGUUAAAAAGCUGACACAUCUAUUUCUUUAUUCUAACUCAUUUUGCACUUUAUAAAGUAUUUAUAAAUCAUUUUUUGUUCUUUUUGUUUACAGAUGGAUAAGUUGGAAAUUCGUACAGUUUUGAAAUAUGAGUUCUUUCUUGGAAAUACAGCAUCACAGACAGCUUGGAAUGUUAAUGGAAUAUUUCAUGCUAAUGUUAUUAUACAGCAGACAGUAUCAAGUUGGUUUGCAAAAUUUUUUUCUGGUAACUUUGACCUCACAAAUGAGCAACGUUGGGUUAGAUCCAUCUUAAAGUGUCCGUGAAUUAUUGUUGUUUGGUGCUAGCAAGCAAACAAUAUUGACUUACCUAGUUCAAAUCGGUAAAGUAAAAAAGUUGGAUAAGUGAGUUCCACAUGAACUCAAUGAAAAUCAGAAAUGGCAACGUUUGGAAGCCUGCAUUAUUCUACUUUCUUAUCGCAAAAAUGAAUCAAUUUUGAAUCAAAUUGUAACAUGUGAUGAGCCACCAAAACUCAGUCCAAAAAGCAAAAUUCAUCAAAAGAAGCUGAUGGCAUGUGUUUGGUGGUCUGGUGCUGGUGUGAUCCAUUAUGAUUUCAUUAAACCUGGCUCAUCAAUCACGUCCGAAAUAUACUGCAGCCAACUGGACCAAAUGAUGCAAAAACUUACAAAAAACAGCCAAGAUUAGUCAAAAGAUCCACUCCUAUUUUAUUGCAAGACAAUGCCAGACCACACAUCGCAAAAAUGACAUUGACGAAACUACAGGAGUUGGAGUUGGAAGUUCUCCAUCAUCCACCAUACUUACCAUAUCUUGCCCCCACUGACUACCACUUCUUCCAGAAUUUGGAUAACUUUUUGAUAGGGAAAAAGUUUAAUUCUGAUGAUGUUGUAAAGCAGGUCUUCCAAGAUUUUAUUGACUCUAGAUUGCCAGGAUUUUACAGUUCCGGGCUGGACAAGCUACCACUGAAAUGGCAAAAGUAUAUUGACAAUAUGGGUGCAUACUUUGAUGAAUAAAUCUAUUCCUUGCAUUUAUGAAACAUUAGCAAACUGUUUCUUUCUUUCCUACAAAUUUCAUACUUGACGACCUAAUAUCAUAAUUAAAAGACAGCAAAGAUGUGAAUUCUGG